GAGUUUGAUCAUGGCUCAGAUUGAACGCUGGCGGCAGGCCUAACACAUGCAAGUCGAGCGGAUGACGGGAGCUUGCUCCUUGAUUCAGCGGCGGACGGGUGAGUAAUGCCUAGGAAUCUGCCUGGUAGUGGGGGACAACGUUUCGAAAGGAACGAUAAUACCGCAUACGUCCUACGGGAGAAAGCAGGGGACCUUCGGGCCUUGCGCUAUCAGAUGAGCCUAGGUCGGAUUAGCUAGUUGGUGGGGUAAUGGCUCACCAAGGCGACGAUCCGUAACUGGUCUGAGAGGAUGAUCAGUCACACUGGAACUGAGACACGGUCCAGACUCCUACGGGAGGCAGCAGUGGGGAAUAUUGGACAAUGGGCGAAAGCCUGAUCCAGCCAUGCCGCGUGUGUGAAGAAG
Molecule: ribosomal RNA, 402 nt
Filed under: uncultured Pseudomonas sp.
Lineage: Bacteria; Pseudomonadati; Pseudomonadota; Gammaproteobacteria; Pseudomonadales; Pseudomonadaceae
Description: bacterial SSU rRNA
Rfam family: Bacterial small subunit ribosomal RNA
Source: RNAcentral